AAAAAGAUUCCUAGAGGUUAGCAAUACAAAUUCUCCUAUCUAGUCUGUAAAAGAAAGUUGAAAGGAAUCGAGAAUAAUAGUAACAAGGUAGACCCAUUAAUUUAAGAUUGUAAAAACCUUGAAUAUAAUAAUUUGAUCAACUAUAACACAUUGGCAGACAAUAUCAGAUUGCAUAUACAAUUAGAUGGCUUAAAUAAAAAUGCACAAAUCAGUAUGAAAUUUCAGUAGUGCAACCAAACCUCCCAUGCAAGUGGCGACUGAAAACAAUAACAUCAGCCCCAAGUCUCAUAGUGCUAGUCUUAAAGCCAUUACCAUAUUGUCCAAUAGCAGAUUUG
This 335-nucleotide unclassified non-coding RNA is filed under the name Hevea brasiliensis (rubber tree). The record is from RNAcentral. Lineage: Eukaryota; Viridiplantae; Streptophyta; Magnoliopsida; Malpighiales; Euphorbiaceae.